AGUAGAGAUGGGGUUUCACCAUAUUGGCCAGGCUAGUCUCAAACUCCUGACCUUGUGAUCCACCCACCUCAGUCUCCUAAAGUGCUGGGAUUACAGGUGUGAGCCACCCUGCCCAGCACAGCUUUUCAUACUUCUUUAGGACACUCUUGACAGGCGUAUGUGCCUCAGCCUAUUUGACUUCUGCAGAUAGGACAAUAUUUUUAUGAGUCUGAUUCGACAUUAGAGCCUCCGUCAGACUAUUUAGAAUACAAAAGAAUGUUUAAAUGGAUAGUGAAUAGGUAUGUGUGUGUGAUGAGGACUUUGUGAAUUGUGCAUUGAAAUGGUUUUGAAAUGGUUUUCUGCGUGAUCAGUUUAGGUGGAGCCAAAACUAAUAACUCCAAGAGACACACUGAAUUUGCUCAUGUUUAUCAUAUACCCAAAUGAACCACAAUUGUCUUUGAUUCCUUCAUCCUUGAAAUUUCUACUAUAAGUACUUCACUGUUUUUCACUUAUUUCUAUUUAGCGGCAUUUUAACUAGUUCUUUGCCUCUAGCUGUUUUGAACUAACAAUUUCAUUUUCUAUAUAGUAUAUAUUACUUUUUUAAUCUUCCCAAAGCACUGUUUUUUUCCUAGAGUGUAACAUUUAAAUUGCUUACUUUGAUACCUUGUGAUUUUGUCCCAACAUUUUCUAUGUUGAUUUUUUUUCAGAUGAACUAACUAGUCCUAAUCCAUUAGUUUUUCUUUCUCUUUGCCUUUAUGCCAUUUCUUCACUACAGUUCUCCCCCAACUAAUGCCUGUAUAUUUUUGUUAAUGAGGCAAAAUUUCUCAUGUGUACUGUUUAUUGACCUUAACAGUCUGACAUUAACCAUCCUUCCCAUGGCAUGAACAUAUUAUACCUGUAGUUCUUAACCUUUUUCUCUACCUUCACACACCUGAGGUACAUAACACUUCUUUCAUUGUUUCUCAUUUACUCAUGUGGGUUAACCUUUUAAAUGUAUUAGCAAUAUGAAAAAAAAUUUUCUAAUUUAAGAAGCUUCUGAAUAGUAGCCUAAACAUCAGGUCCCAAGGUUCAGAUAUUAAUUUUAUGCUGACAUGUUAUACAGUUGACUUUUUAAAUUCUUCAAAUAGUUAUGUAUCAACCAGUUACAAUAUAUCCUUAAGAUUUAUUAACAUUAAAAGAAUAAUUAUUUCAGUUUUCCAAUAUUGUAAAAGCAAUUAACAAAUACACUUUUUAAAGAAGUAAUCUAUGUCUUUGUGAUGGUAUUGUUUAUUAAGCAUUCAAUAAUAAAGGGCUGAUUAAAUAACAUGUUUAGUAGGAUACUGUGCAGCUAUUUAAAAUAGCAAUUGAAUAAUGAGCUAAAAAGUUGUUUAAGUAAAAGAUUAUCAAAUAGUUUGAAUAGAUUCACUAGAAUAAUAACAUACUAAAUUGUUUUACUGGUCUACUCUGGGUAAGAGAUAAAUCUUAUUGGGGUGGGAGGGAUCUUCUUGAUUAUAAAUAAGCAUGUAUGAUUUUUGUGAUGGGCAGAGUUUGUUUUUUGAAAAGGAGAGAGAAAUCCUUGAAAAAUAAAAGUAUUUAUUUGAAGCAACCUUACCUCCACAUAAUGAUUUACUUUGGAAAUCUAUAAAAGGGAAUCCUGUGUUCGGGAACUUUAGACAAGAUAAUGAAGAAUUAACUGUCAUGGAAGAAAAAUUUCAAAAUCAGAUAAGUUUAAAAUCAUCUUCAGAGGAACAGCUUGCUCUAAAUUCUCAAAGCAAUAUUGAAAAGGAAUUCAAGAAUUCCUUCUUGAGUUCAUGGUUGAGAGAUUUCACUGUCAUUUCCCCACUCUUCAAGCCCUUAAAACCUCAAACACAGGUACCCUCAUUUCUAAUCAAAGAAAACAAGGGUAUUCAGAUUGCCUGCAGCCCUUCAAGAGCCAUGGUGUAAAUUUUGAUAUCACCAUUGCCACCCUCCUCUCAAAAAAGGUGAGAACUGACUAAACGACUGGUACUUAGACCAUGUGGAGAAGGCACUGAAACUGGAAACA
Molecule: long non-coding RNA, 2002 nt
Organism: Sapajus apella (tufted capuchin)
Lineage: Eukaryota; Metazoa; Chordata; Mammalia; Primates; Cebidae
Exons: 3
Source: RefSeq, a predicted model, not a curated record